CCGGGCGUGAACACGUGUGUGUGUGUGUGUGAUUCCCGUGUAAUACUGUGUCCAGAUUCUGCUGCUACUGUCACCUAGUGUGUCUACUUGUGGGGGGUCCCUGUCACCUAAGAGAAGUAAGAAGCAGCCGAGAAACUGAUCUGACGAAAGAGAACCUCCCGCCAAGACCAGCAACAAGCAGUAAUCCUUAACAAGGAUGACGUCAGGGGGAGGGUGGCGGCGAGUGGCAGUGGCGGCGGUGGUGAUGUGUCUGAUGGCGGCGGCGACGACGGCUGACCAAGAGGAGCCUGAAGGAGUCACGACCGCAGAAUUCACCGAAAACGACCUGACACAGAACUUCACAGGCAGCGACGAUGAGGGAGACGCCUCUGGUGGUGGUGAGGGUGGAAGUGGAGUGAAUGACAGCCAGGCGACACCAACAAGUGCGACGAACGCAAACAACACGGAAGUAGGAGGAGCAGCAGAAGGAGGAGGAGGAGCAGCAGAAGGAGGAGGAGGAGAAGCAGAAGGAGAAGCAGUAGCAGCAGGAGGAGAAGGAAUAACAGAGG
This 548-nucleotide long non-coding RNA is filed under the name Homarus americanus (American lobster). Its description in RNAcentral is "uncharacterized LOC121867311, transcript variant X2". The record is from RNAcentral. Lineage: Eukaryota; Metazoa; Arthropoda; Malacostraca; Decapoda; Nephropidae.